RNAcentral lists this ribosomal RNA (845 nucleotides) under uncultured bacterium. RNAcentral describes it as "bacterial SSU rRNA". It matches the Rfam family "Bacterial small subunit ribosomal RNA", at positions 8 to 853 of the family's 1533-position model. The record is from RNAcentral.
AGAGUUUGAUCCUGGCUCAGAUUGAACGCUGGCGGAAUGCUUUACACAUGCAAGUCGAACGGUAGAGGGGGCAACCCCUUGAGAGUGGCGAACGGGUGAGUAAUAUAUCGGAACGUGCCCAGUCGUGGGGGAUAACGUAGCGAAAGUUACGCUAAUACCGCAUACGAUCUAAGGAUGAAAGCGGGGGAUCGCAAGACCUCGCGCGAUUGGAGCGGCCGAUAUCAGAUUAGGUAGUUGGUGGGGUAAAGGCUCACCAAGCCAACGAUCUGUAGCUGGUCUGAGAGGACGACCAGCCACACUGGAACUGAGACACGGUCCAGACUCCUACGGGAGGCAGCAGUGGGGAAUUUUGGACAAUGGACGCAAGUCUGAUCCAGCCAUUCCGCGUGCAGGAUGAAGGCCCUCGGGUUGUAAACUGCUUUUGUACGGAACGAAAAGGUCUCUCUUAAUACGAGGGGCUCAUGACGGUACCGUAAGGAUAAGCACCGGCUAACUACGUGCCAGCAGCCGCGGUAAUACGUAGGGUGCAAGCGUUAAUCGGAAUUACUGGGCGUAAAGCGUGCGCAGGCGGUUAUGUAAGACAGAGGUGAAAUCCCCGGGCUCAACCUGGGAACUGCCUUUGUGACUGCAUAGCUAGAGUACGGUAGAGGGGGAUGGAAUUCCGCGUGUAGCAGCGAAAUGCGUAGAUAUGCGGAGGAACACCGAUGGCGAAGGCAAUCCCCUGGACCUGUACUGACGCUCAUGCACGAAAGCGUGGGGAGCAAACAGGAUUAGAUACCCUGGUAGUCCACGCCCUAAACGAUGUCAACUGGUUGUUGGGUCUUCACUGACUCAGUAACGAAGCU